GAUCGGCAGGCAGUGCAGAGACUUGUCAUCGGCAGCCCAGGCGGAGGUCCGCUCUGAAAGGCUUUGUUUCCCUGCUCGCCCAGUGGGCAUCCUGCCUCACCAAGCGCCUACCCGAGGCCGGGCCGCGAGAGGCGCGGGGCACGGAGGCAUGUGCAGGGAGGAAAACAGCUUAUAGUCCCUGUCUAAUCAGAGAUCCUUGUGGAGGUGGGGAAGCAACCUCUCUCUUCUGUGAUACAUGUUUGAUGAGGGUAAUACAAUGCAGGAAAGGAUGCCAUUUCCCUUAUGCUCCACAUGCUUUCGUAAGAUUUUCUUUCUUUUUUUUUUUGAUUUUAUAAACUAUUACAUACUCAUUGUCUAUAAUAAAUGUGCUUAAAAAUAAUGGUAAUAUAUACUAAUAAUUCUGCCACCCACCUCUCACUGUUUUGCCAUAUUUCUGGGACUCUACCCCGCCUUCUCCUUAGUGACUGAGAGAUCUUUGAAAUGUGCAUGGCUUCAGUACCAUCUCUAUGCAGAUAAUUCCUUAACUUUCAUUUUCAGUUUUGCUGCUGCUUCCUGCCAUAAUCCCCUAUCUUCUUAGCUGCAAUUUUACAUCUCCCUGGGCAUGGCCAUUUUCAAUUUUAAUUUCUUUUUUUCUUUUGUUUUGGUGAGGAAGAUUGGCCCUGAGCCAACGUCUGUUGCCAAUCUUCCUCUUUUUGUUAGAGGAAGAUUGUUGCUGAGCUAACAGCUGCACCAGUCUUCCUCUAUUUUAUGUGGGAUGCUGCCACAGCAUGGCUCAAUGAGUGGUGCUAGGUCUGCACCCAGGAUCUGAACCUGUGAACCCCAAGCGGCCAAAGUGGAGCAAGUGAACUUAACCACUACGCCACCUGGCCAGCCCCUUCAGUUUUAAUUUCUAAAUGUCCAAGACUGAGUUCCAGGCCUUCUGGUCCAGACAAGACAGUAUUUACUCAUUUUUUCUCAUGUCCACAAGUUCAACUACAAACUCUGGAAACAACACAAAGAUGGUCACAGGAGGACUCUAAAGUGGAAAGAGGGAAGCACACUGGUCUGGGAUUCAGGAAGGAGUGGCACAGUGCAGGCUUAGGGCCCCAUCCAACAGAAGGUGGCCCAGGUGUGCCCAUUCCUCCCUGGAUGACACAAGGUCAGCCCACAGAACCUACAGGGGUGUUGGUGCAGAGGUUUGCUGACACCAAGAGGCCAGGGAAUGGGUUGUCCUUCCCACUGAGGAUGCCAACACACGCUCUUUAUCCCUAGAGGAUAAAGAAUCCUUGGAGACCCCCUUUCCCUUCCUAGAGGCACUGUGGGGCCAGGAAGAUCCACUAAAACUGGUUCUCAGGCCCAGAAGUGCUCUUCAAGCCCAAGAGCAGAAAUUCCUUCUACCAUCUGAAGAUGCCAGGCAACUGGGCAGCCAGGGACCAGCAGAUUCAGCCACAACAAGCAGCCACUCACCCAGGGAAUGCUCUCUGCCAGGCUGAACCUGAGACUUCUCUUCUCUCCUUAGGGACAAGGGACAGCCAGGUAGCAACAGGGGGCUAUCUUGUUACAGUAAGCACUGGCCUAGAAAAUGUUUUGUUU
This 1572-nucleotide long non-coding RNA is filed under the name Equus asinus (donkey). RNAcentral describes it as "lncRNA (ENSEASG00005037259.1)". Lineage: Eukaryota; Metazoa; Chordata; Mammalia; Perissodactyla; Equidae. The record is from RNAcentral.